UUACAAAGGACGACAUUAGACGAAUCAUCUGGAAAGAUGAAUCAAAGAAGGUAAUAAUCCUGUAGUCGAAAAUGUUGUCUCUCUUGAGUGGAUCCUGAGUACGACGGAGCACGUGAAAUUCCGUCGGAAUCUGGGAGGACCAUCUCCUAAGGCUAAAUACUCUCUAGUGACCGAUAGUGAACCAGUACCGUGAGGGAAAGGUGAAAAGCACCCCGGAAGGGGAGUGAAAUAGAACCUGAAACCGUGUGCUUACAAGUAGUCAGAGCCCGUUAAUGGGUGAUGGCGUGCCUUUUGUAGAAUGAACCGGCGAGUUACGAUUUGAUGCAAGGUUAAGCAGUAAAUGUGGAGCCGUAGCGAAAGCGAGUCUGAAUAGGGCGUUUAGUAUUUGGUCGUAGACCCGAAACCAGGUGAUCUACCCUUGGUCAGGUUGAAGUUCAGGUAACACUGAAUGGAGGACCGAACCGACUUACGUUGAAAAGUGAGCGGAUGAACUGAGGGUAGCGGAGAAAUUCCAAUCGAACCUGGAGAUAGCUGGUUCUCUCCGAAAUAGCUUUAGGGCUAGCCUCAAGUGAUGAUUAUUGGAGGUAGAGCACUGUUUGGACGAGGGGCCCCUCUCGGGUUACCGAAUUCAGACAAACUCCGAAUGCCAAUUAAUUUAACUUGGGAGUCAGAACAUGGGUGAUAAGGUCCGUGUUCGAAAGGGAAACAGCCCAGACCACCAGCUAAGGUCCCAAAAUAUAUGUUAAGUGGAAAAGGAUGUGGCGUUGCCCAGACAACUAGGAUGUUGGCUUAGAAGCAGCCAUCAUUUAAAGAGUGCGUAAUAGCUCACUAGUCGAGUGACACUGCGCCGAAAAUGUACCGGGGCUAAACAUAUUACCGAAGCUGUGGAUUGUCCUUUGGACAAUGGUAGGAGAGCGUUCUAAGGGCGUUGAAGCAUGAUCGUAAGAACAUGUGGAGCGCUUAGAAGUGAGAAUGCCGGUGUGAGUAGCGAAAGACGGGUGAGAAUCCCGUCCACCGAUUGACUAAGGUUUCCAGAGGAAGGCUCGUCCGCUCUGGGUUAGUCGGGUCCUAAGCUGAGGCCGACAGGCGUAGGCGAUGGAUAACAGGUUGAUAUUCCUGUACCACCUAUAAUCGUUUUAAUCGAUGGGGGGACGCAGUAGGAUAGGCGAAGCGUGCGAUUGGAUUGCACGUCUAAGCAGUAAGGCUGAGUAUUAGGCAAAUCCGGUACUCGUUAAGGCUGAGCUGUGAUGGGGAGAAGACAUUGUGUCUUCGAGUCGUUGAUUUCACACUGCCGAGAAAAGCCUCUAGAUAGAAAAUAGGUGCCCGUACCGCAAACCGACACAGGUAGUCAAGAUGAGAAUUCUAAGGUGAGCGAGCGAACUCUCGUUAAGGAACUCGGCAAAAUGACCCCGUAACUUCGGGAGAAGGGGUGCUCUUUAGGGUUAACGCCCAGAAGAGCCGCAGUGAAUAGGCCCAAGCGACUGUUUAUCAAAAACACAGGUCUCUGCUAAACCGUAAGGUGAUGUAUAGGGGCUGACGCCUGCCCGGUGCUGGAAGGUUAAGAGGAGUGGUUAGCUUCUGCGAAGCUACGAAUCGAAGCCCCAGUAAACGGCGGCCGUAACUAUAACGGUCCUAAGGUAGCGAAAUUCCUUGUCGGGUAAGUUCCGACCCGCACGAAAGGCGUAACGAUUUGGGCACUGUCUCAACGAGAGACUCGGUGAAAUCAUAGUACCUGUGAAGAUGCAGGUUACCCGCGACAGGACGGAAAGACCCCGUGGAGCUUUACUGUAGCCUGAUAUUGAAAUUCGGCACAGCUUGUACAGGAUAGGUAGGAGCCUUUGAAACGUGAGCGCUAGCUUACGUGGAGGCGCUGGUGGGAUACUACCCUAGCUGUGUUGGCUUUCUAACCCGCACCACUUAUCGUGGUGGGAGACAGUGUCAGGCGGGCAGUUUGACUGGGGCGGUCGCCUCCUAAAAGGUAACGGAGGCGCUCAAAGGUUCCCUCAGAAUGGUUGGAAAUCAUUCAUAGAGUGUAAAGGCAUAAGGGAGCUUGACUGCGAGACCUACAAGUCGAGCAGGGUCGAAAGACGGACUUAGUGAUCCGGUGGUUCCGCAUGGAAGGGCCAUCGCUCAACGGAUAAAAGCUACCCCGGGGAUAACAGGCUUAUCUCCCCCAAGAGUUCACAUCGACGGGGAGGUUUGGCACCUCGAUGUCGGCUCAUCGCAUCCUGGGGCUGUAGUCGGUCCCAAGGGUUGGGCUGUUCGCCCAUUAAAGCGGUACGCGAGCUGGGUUCAGAACGUCGUGAGACAGUUCGGUCCCUAUCCGUCGUGGGCGUAGGAAAUUUGAGAGGAGCUGUCCUUAGUACGAGAGGACCGGGAUGGACAUACCUCUGGUGUACCAGUUGUCGUGC
Molecule: ribosomal RNA, 2411 nt
Filed under: Staphylococcus aureus
Lineage: Bacteria; Bacillati; Bacillota; Bacilli; Caryophanales; Staphylococcaceae
Description: bacterial LSU rRNA
Rfam family: Bacterial large subunit ribosomal RNA
Source: RNAcentral